CCUACGGGAGGCAGCAGUGGGGAAUAUUGCACAAUGGGGGAAACCCUGAUGCAGCGACGCCGCGUGAGUGAAGAAGUAUUUCGGUAUGUAAAGCUCUAUCAGCAGGGAAGAAAAUGACGGUACCUGAUUAAGAAGCCCCGGCUAACUAAGUGCCAGCAGCCGCGGGAAUACGUAGGGGGCAAGCGUUAGCCGGAUUUAAUUGGGGUAAAGGGAGCGUAGACGGGAGCGUAAGUCUGAAGUGAAAUGCCGGGGCUUAACCCCGGAACUGCUUUGGAAACUGGGCAGCUAGAGUGCAGGAGAGGUAAGUGGAAGUCCUAGUGUAGCGGUGAAAUGCGUAGAUAUUAAGAGGAACACCAGUGGCGAAGGCGGCUUGCUGGACUGUAACUGACGUUGAGGCUCGAAAGCGUGGGGAGCAAACAGGAUUAGAUACCCGUGUAGUC
Molecule: ribosomal RNA, 440 nt
Filed under: uncultured bacterium
Lineage: Bacteria
Description: partial 16S ribosomal RNA
Rfam family: Bacterial small subunit ribosomal RNA
Source: RNAcentral